CACUGAUCCGAGAAUCAUCCAUUGUUAGAUUUCCAUUUUCUGGGGUAUUAUCUCGUGUAAGGAACAAUGUUUCCAAAUAUAGCACAACAGCUGGGACAGCAGUGCCUUUGGAAAGAAAGGGUNNNAAAAAUAUUGUUCUUCAUCUUUCAUUGCAAAGGAGAAUAGAGCACCUUGGUAGGGCUACAGCCAACACUAAAACUCACCAGGCUCCAUUUCGCAACAUGAUGUUUUAUGGACCUCCUGGCA
RNAcentral lists this unclassified non-coding RNA (246 nucleotides) under Hevea brasiliensis (rubber tree). The record is from RNAcentral. Lineage: Eukaryota; Viridiplantae; Streptophyta; Magnoliopsida; Malpighiales; Euphorbiaceae.